AUAAGACAUGGGAUAAAAAAAUCAGCCAAUCAAAAGACAUGUGAGCAAGGCUCUGGUAAUGUUGGGCUUGCGUUUUCUUUAGCCAAAAUGUUGAAUCUAAGAUCAAACGAAAGGGCAUGUGUUAUCACUUCCAGAUAUGCUCUCAUGAUCCUCUUCACGGCUUCUUUUGUUCGUCGCUUCCCUUCGAAAUUGUUAUCGUUAUUGUUGUUCCUCAAGCUGAUUUUCUUUUCCUAAUUUUUCUAUCUUCUUUGGCUCUUCGUUCUCAGUCUCUCUUCCAUUUCCGUUUGUUUCCGAUAUGAGUUAUUCAAUGACCUCAACUGAGUUUUCCUUUUCUGUGUCCUAGACGACCACCGUCUCUUGAAAGUCCAGCCGGUAACACCUCUGAGCGACUUCAAUUGAUACAGUUACCGCUGUAAAUCAGUCGGAGCUCUCGCUACUUAGUCUUCAAAACGGCUGAAGCUUUGGAAGCGAGCACAGAUCUGGUUUCUUCCUCUUCACGAUUUUGCUAGAGGACGAAGUGGUGGUUUUUAGAUCUGUUUCGAGCGGAAGCGGUGGAGGUCGUGAUGAGCAGCUUCGGGUAUAGAUCGGCAUGGAGGGAAACACGGCGAGUCAAGAUUGGCCCGGCGAGAUCCACAGAGAAAUCAGAAACAGAACUAAAGCUGAUACAAAAAAACAUUCGUUAUAACAACAAUGAUGAUAAUGAAGUUAUGGGAUCCACAUUCGUCUUUUACUCGAGCAUCCUCUUUGAGAAACGCCAAAUGAAAGACUGUGAAAGGUAUGUCUAGGCAUUUAGUGUUAGUUUAUUUUGUGAUAACGAGAUUUUUUUGUUAGGAUCAUCUAUACAAUGUACACACAUGUUGGUGACUAAGUUUGCAACAUCUUAGAAACAAUGAAAUAGCCGGUGAGGAGAUUCGUUUAUGAAAAUUUGAUUCUCACUUGAUGUAUGUUCCCUAUGAUUAUAGAUAAAUAAGCGACAUUAAUGAGCUCUGAUUUCCAGUGGAAAAAGGUUGAAGAACCAAAAGAGUUCACCGGCUUGAGCUGUUCUUUGAGGCUUAAAUUAAGAACAAUGGGAUUGCCGGUUUGGAGAACCCUUACUACCAUAACACUGUCUUCACCAAGACAUCUCACAUGAUUGAUAAAGAUAAGCUUAUCCUCGAGAUGGCCAUUGGGUCCAGGAGUAACAAGAGAAGCUGGAGUAUGAUGAAAGGAAGCCAAAAGUGAGAAGAAAAGGAGAGGAGAGAUUCAUCACGAGUGUGUUGUAUAUAUACCCUAUGUGUCUCAGUUUUUCCACCAGACCAAUAGUGUAAGAAUUUAUUGUCACUCGUGAUGAUGGCCAAUAGAUAAAAGAAAAUAAUGACCUCUCCAACAAGAGGUCGUAUUUUUUUUUUUUUCACUCGUGAUAUAAAUAUAAUGUUUUGGCCUUUUGGUGUGGUAGUUUGCUUAAGAGUAGUUUGGUUUUCGUCUAAUUUUUCAUUUAUAACAGGUUCUCAUAAAUCUGUUUGGAGGACAAUAGCAUUUCGUUGGU
Molecule: long non-coding RNA, 1525 nt
Organism: Brassica oleracea var. oleracea
Lineage: Eukaryota; Viridiplantae; Streptophyta; Magnoliopsida; Brassicales; Brassicaceae
Exons: 3
Source: RefSeq, a predicted model, not a curated record